GAUGAACGCUGGCGGCGUGCCUAAUACAUGCAAGUCGAACGCGCAGCGAAAGGUGCUUGCACCUUUCAAGCGAGUGGCGAACGGGUGUGUAACACGUGGAUAACCUGCCUCAAGGCUGGGGAUAACAUUUGGAAACAGAUGCUAAUACCGAAUAAAACUUAGUAUCGCAUGAUACAAAGUUAAAAGGCGCUACGGCGUCACCUAGAGAUGGAUCCGCGGUGCAUUAGUUAGUUGGUGGGGUAAAGGCUUACCAAGACGAUGAUGCAUAGCCGAGUUGAGAGACUGAUCGGCCACAUUGGGACUGAGACACGGCCCAAAAUCCUACGGGAGGCUGCAGUAGGGAAUCUUCUACAAUGGGCGCAAGCCUGAUGGAGCAACGCCGCGUGUGUGAUGAAGGCUUUCGGGUCGUAAAGCACUGUUGUAUGGGAAGAAAUGCUAAAAUAGGGAAUGAUUUUAGUUUGACGGUACCAUACCAGAAAGGGACGGCUAAAUACGUGCCAGCAGCCGCGGUAA
This 513-nucleotide ribosomal RNA is filed under the name uncultured bacterium. Its description in RNAcentral is "partial 16S ribosomal RNA". It matches the Rfam family "Bacterial small subunit ribosomal RNA", at positions 28 to 523 of the family's 1533-position model. The record is from RNAcentral.